AGUCGAACGAGCGAGAGAGAGCUUGCUUUCUCGAGCGAGUGGCGAACGGGUGAGUAACGCGUGAGGAACCUGCCUCAAAGAGGGGGACAACAGUUGGAAACGACUGCUAAUACCGCAUAAGCCCACAGGUCGGCAUCGACCAGAGGGAAAAGGAGCAAUCCGCUUUGAGAUGGCCUCGCGUCCGAUUAGCUAGUUGGUGAGGUAAUGGCCCACCAAGGCGACGAUCGGUAGCCGGACUGAGAGGUUGAACGGCCACAUUGGGACUGAGACACGGCCCAGACUCCUACGGGAGGCAGCAGUGGGGAAUAUUGCACAAUGGGGGAAACCCUGAUGCAGCGACGCCGCGUGGAGGAAGAAGGUCUUCGGAUUGUAAACUCCUGUUGUUGAGGAAGAUAAUGACGGUACUCAACAAGGAAGUGACGGCUAACUACGUGCCAGCAGCCGCGGUAAAACGUAGGUCACAAGCGUUGUCCGGAAUUACUGGGUGUAAAGGGAGCGCAGGCGGGAAGACAAGUUGGAAGUGAAAUCUAUGGGCUCAACCCAUAAACUGCUUUCAAAACUGUUUUUCUUGAGUAGUGCAGAGGUAGGCGGAAUUCCCGGUGUAGCGGUGGAAUGCGUAGAUAUCGGGAGGAACACCAGUGGCGAAGGCGGCCUACUGGGCACCAACUGACGCUGAGGCUCGAAAGUGUGGGUAGCAAACAGGAUUAGAUACCCUGGUAGUCCACACCGUAAACGAUGAUUACUAGGUGUUGGAGGAUUGACCCCUUCAGUGCCGCAGUUAACACA
RNAcentral lists this ribosomal RNA (786 nucleotides) under uncultured bacterium. RNAcentral's name for it is "bacterial SSU rRNA". It matches the Rfam family "Bacterial small subunit ribosomal RNA", at positions 60 to 859 of the family's 1533-position model. The record is from RNAcentral.